Molecule: ribosomal RNA, 1436 nt
Filed under: Polyrhachis dives
Lineage: Eukaryota; Metazoa; Arthropoda; Insecta; Hymenoptera; Formicidae
Description: 16S ribosomal RNA
Source: RNAcentral
GGGUUAAUUUAAUUUAAAAGUUUUAUAUAUCUAAAAUUAAUUAAAAUUAUUAAAAAGAGUAAAAGUUUAAGUAUAUUUAUAAAAAAAAUUAAUAAAAUUAUAAAAAAAGUAAUGUAAAUGAAAAUUUUAAAAAUAAAUAAAAGUAAAUUUAAAUUAUUGUACCUUUAGUAUCAGGGUUGAUUAAAUAAAAUUUUAAGAAUUUUAAUUAUCUCGAAUAAAAAAGAGCUAAAUAAUUAUGAUAGUUAAUGUUGAAAAAUUAUUAUAAAUAAUUAUUUAGGGAAUAUAUUUCAAUCGUGUUUUUAUAUAUCUAGUUUUUUUUGAUUAAAUUUAAUUUAAAUAUAUAAAUUUAUAUUAAAAUUAUUAUUAGGUAGUUGAAAAUAAUAUAUUUUAUUUAUAUAUAAAAAAUUUGUGGGAUAAUCUAUAAAUUUAAUUUUAAAAUUUUUAAAUAAAUAAAUUUAAUAAUAAAAAUAUUCAUAAAAUUAGAAAUUUAUAUAAAAAAUUUAAUAAUUUAUAUUUAUUUAUACAUGAAUAUGUAUAUAAAUAAAAAAUAAUUUGAUUUUAAAAUUUAAUUAAAUAAAAAAAUAUUUAAUAAAAUAAAAAUAUUAAAAAAAUAAUGAUUAAAUAAGUAUUAAAAAAUUAAAUAAUAUAAAUUAUAUUAAAUUAUAAUGUAAAAAAUUUAUUAAAGGAAUUAGGCAAAAUUAUUAAUAUAUCAAUAAUAUAUAUAUAUAUUAUAUUAAAUUCAUCUGUUUAAUAAAAACAUAGUUUUAUGAAAUUUAUAUAAAAUAAGUUCUGCUCCAUGAUGUAGUAAUUAAAUAGCCGCAGUAUAUUGACUGUGCGAAGGUAGCAUAAUCAUUUGUUCUUUAAUUGGGAACUGGAAUGAAGGAAUAAAUGAAAUUUAAACUGUCUUAAAAAAAAAAUAAGAAUUUAAAUUUUUAGUAAAAAUGCUAAAAUUUUAUUAAGGGACGAGAAGACCCUAUAGAAUUUUAUAUAAAAUAAAAAAUUUUUUUUAUUUUAUAUUUAAUUGGGGGGAUUAUUAAAUUUUUAAAACUUUAUAAAGAAGUUGAUAAAAAUUAUCAAUAAAAACAUUAAUUAAUGAAAUAUUAAAGAAUAAAUAUUAUAAUUUAUAAUAUUAAUAAUAGAAUUAAUUACCUUAGGGAUAACAGCGUUAUAUUAUUAUGAAGAUCAAAUUUAUAAUAAUGAUUGCGACCUCGAUGUUGAAUUAAAAUAAAAAUUAAAUGAAGAAGUUUAAUAUUUUAGUCUGUUCGACUAUUAAAAUUUUACAUGAUUUGAGUUUAGAUCGGCGUGAGCCAGAUCGGAUUCUAUCUUUAAUAAUUUAUUAAUAAUUUUGUACGAAAGGACUUAUUAUUAAAAAAAUUUUUUUUUUUAAGAAUAAUAAUAAUAAUUUUUUAAAUUUAUAAAAUUAUUUAUAAUAAUAG